GGGUUGUGAGGUUAAGCGACUAAGCGUACACGGUGGAUGCCCUGGCAGUCAGAGGCGAUGAAGGACGUGCUAAUCUGCGAUAAGCGUCGGUAAGGUGAUAUGAACCGUUAUAACCGGCGAUUUCCGAAUGGGGAAACCCAGUGUGUUUCGACACACUAUCAUUAACUGAAUCCAUAGGUUAAUGAGGCGAACCGGGGGAACUGAAACAUCUAAGUACCCCGAGGAAAAGAAAUCAACCGAGAUUCCCCCAGUAGCGGCGAGCGAACGGGGAGGAGCCCAGAGCCUGAAUCAGUGUGUGUGUUAGUGGAAGCGUCUGGAAAGGCGCGCGAUACAGGGUGACAGCCCCGUACACAAAAAUGCACAUGCUGUGAGCUCGAUGAGUAGGGCGGGACACGUGGUAUCCUGUCUGAAUAUGGGGGGACCAUCCUCCAAGGCUAAAUACUCCUGACUGACCGAUAGUGAACCAGUACCGUGAGGGAAAGGCGAAAAGAACCCCGGCGAGGGGAGUGAAAAAGAACCUGAAACCGUGUACGUACAAGCAGUGGGAGCCUCUUUUAUGGGGUGACUGCGUACCUUUUGUAUAAUGGGUCAGCGACUUAUAUUCUGUAGCAAGGUUAACCGAAUAGGGGAGCCGAAGGGAAACCGAGUCUUAACCGGGCGUUAAGUUGCAGGGUAUAGACCCGAAACCCGGUGAUCUAGCCAUGGGCAGGUUGAAGGUUGGGUAACACUAACUGGAGGACCGAACCGACUAAUGUUGAAAAAUUAGCGGAUGACUUGUGGCUGGGGGUGAAAGGCCAAUCAAACCGGGAGAUAGCUGGUUCUCCCCGAAAGCUAUUUAGGUAGCGCCUCGUGAAUUCAUCUCCGGGGGUAGAGCACUGUUUCGGCAAGGGGGUCAUCCCGACUUACCAACCCGAUGCAAACUGCGAAUACCGGAGAAUGUUAUCACGGGAGACACACGGCGGGUGCUAACGUCCGUCGUGAAGAGGGAAACAACCCAGACCGCCAGCUAAGGUCCCAAAGUCAUGGUUAAGUGGGAAACGAUGUGGGAAGGCCCAGACAGCCAGGAUGUUGGCUUAGAAGCAGCCAUCAUUUAAAGAAAGCGUAAUAGCUCACUGGUCGAGUCGGCCUGCGCGGAAGAUGUAACGGGGCUAAACCAUGCACCGAAGCUGCGGCAGCGACACUGUGUGUUGUUGGGUAGGGGAGCGUUCUGUAAGCCUGUGAAGGUGUGCUGUGAGGCAUGCUGGAGGUAUCAGAAGUGCGAAUGCUGACAUAAGUAACGAUAAAGCGGGUGAAAAGCCCGCUCGCCGGAAGACCAAGGGUUCCUGUCCAACGUUAAUCGGGGCAGGGUGAGUCGACCCCUAAGGCGAGGCCGAAAGGCGUAGUCGAUGGGAAACAGGUUAAUAUUCCUGUACUUGGUGUUACUGCGAAGGGGGGACGGAGAAGGCUAUGUUGGCCGGGCGACGGUUGUCCCGGUUUAAGCGUGUAGGCUGGUUUUCCAGGCAAAUCCGGAAAAUCAAGGCUGAGGCGUGAUGACGAGGCACUACGGUGCUGAAGCAACAAAUGCCCUGCUUCCAGGAAAAGCCUCUAAGCAUCAGGUAACAUCAAAUCGUACCCCAAACCGACACAGGUGGUCAGGUAGAGAAUACCAAGGCGCUUGAGAGAACUCGGGUGAAGGAACUAGGCAAAAUGGUGCCGUAACUUCGGGAGAAGGCACGCUGAUAUGUAGGUGAAGUCCCUCGCGGAUGGAGCUGAAAUCAGUCGAAGAUACCAGCUGGCUGCAACUGUUUAUUAAAAACACAGCACUGUGCAAACACGAAAGUGGACGUAUACGGUGUGACGCCUGCCCGGUGCCGGAAGGUUAAUUGAUGGGGUCAGCGCAAGCGAAGCUCUUGAUCGAAGCCCCGGUAAACGGCGGCCGUAACUAUAACGGUCCUAAGGUAGCGAAAUUCCUUGUCGGGUAAGUUCCGACCUGCACGAAUGGCGUAAUGAUGGCCAGGCUGUCUCCACCCGAGACUCAGUGAAAUUGAACUCGCUGUGAAGAUGCAGUGUACCCGCGGCAAGACGGAAAGACCCCGUGAACCUUUACUAUAGCUUGACACUGAACAUUGAGCCUUGAUGUGUAGGAUAGGUGGGAGGCUUUGAAGUGUGGACGCCAGUCUGCAUGGAGCCGACCUUGAAAUACCACCCUUUAAUGUUUGAUGUUCUAACGUGGACCCGUGAUCCGGGUUGCGGACAGUGUCUGGUGGGUAGUUUGACUGGGGCGGUCUCCUCCUAAAGAGUAACGGAGGAGCACGAAGGUUGGCUAAUCCUGGUCGGACAUCAGGAGGUUAGUGCAAUGGCAUAAGCCAGCUUGACUGCGAGCGUGACGGCGCGAGCAGGUGCGAAAGCAGGUCAUAGUGAUCCGGUGGUUCUGAAUGGAAGGGCCAUCGCUCAACGGAUAAAAGGUACUCCGGGGAUAACAGGCUGAUACCGCCCAAGAGUUCAUAUCGACGGCGGUGUUUGGCACCUCGAUGUCGGCUCAUCACAUCCUGGGGCUGAAGUAGGUCCCAAGGGUAUGGCUGUUCGCCAUUUAAAGUGGUACGCGAGCUGGGUUUAGAACGUCGUGAGACAGUUCGGUCCCUAUCUGCCGUGGGCGCUGGAGAACUGAGGGGGGCUGCUCCUAGUACGAGAGGACCGGAGUGGACGCAUCACUGGUGUUCGGGUUGUCAUGCCAAUGGCACUGCCCGGUAGCUAAAUGCGGAAGAGAUAAGUGCUGAAAGCAUCUAAGCACGAAACUUGCCCCGAGAUGAGUUCUCCCUGACCCUUUAAGGGUCCUGAAGGAACGUUGAAGACGACGACGUUGAUAGGCCGGGUGUGUAAGCGCAGCGAUGCGUUGAGCUAACCGGUACUAAUGAACCGUGAGGCUUAACCUUACAACGCCGAAGGUGUUU
This 2930-nucleotide ribosomal RNA is filed under the name Escherichia coli. RNAcentral describes it as "bacterial LSU rRNA". It matches the Rfam family "Bacterial large subunit ribosomal RNA". RNAcentral also lists the same sequence under 1 other name. The record is from RNAcentral. Lineage: Bacteria; Pseudomonadati; Pseudomonadota; Gammaproteobacteria; Enterobacterales; Enterobacteriaceae.